Planococcus citri (citrus mealybug) is the source of this 5096-nucleotide long non-coding RNA. RefSeq lists it as uncharacterized. The record is from RefSeq and is a predicted model, not a curated record. The transcript has 21 exons. Lineage: Eukaryota; Metazoa; Arthropoda; Insecta; Hemiptera; Pseudococcidae.
CAGCCGUGAUAGACUUUAUAAAAGAGGAAAAGGUUCUGCGGGAGAGAAGAAGUGGAAUGGUGCAGGGACGAAGAUGGCACAGUAGGUUUUCUGAUGGCAGUUGGGAAUGUCUUAUUAGCGCGGCAUGGGAACGUAAAAGCACACCUGUGCUUCGGCUUACCUGCACUUAUGAAGGCCUCGCGUACCCUUAGGCAUUUCACAUAACUUCUUCAAGAAUCUGCCCAUUUAUGUUGGCCUAUGAUGAGUGAUUACCUUUUUGAUGCUGGUUUUUCUCAACGUAUAGUUCUUUCGAGUAAUUGCGAGCAACCACGUUACAAUGCUUCGUUUUUACAUAACAACGUAUAUAUCUUUAAUAAAUAAAUAUAAUUUUAUUUGUUUCGUUCUUAAUUGUCGUAAAUUUAUACUUGAUAGUAUUGCAGAAACUCCCAGUUGUGUUGAAUUGCGCACAGAUGUUAGAUGUUGAAUUUGUCGAUGCUCGAUGCCUAUAUUUCGAGCAUUGGAGAUACUUGACUGUAGUACCUAUACAUGGAAAGAUUUCUUAAUUUUUAUGCAGUGACAUGGUUGAUAAGAUUUGAAAAUUUUGUUCGAUAAAAAAUUACUGUGAGGAAAAUCAGCAUGAACGUGCUUUUGAUAUGGUGAACGAGAUUUAGCAGCUUCAGACAACUAAAUAAUGGACUGCAUGGUGGCAACCGAUCAGUUUCACGAGGAGCCAAAAUAAAUGCAUUUUGAAACGUGAAAGAAGAAGAUGAAGAAGGCAACACCACUUGUUUUGUUAUUCAGAUACCUACUGGAGAUGACGAUGAGUGUGGUUACCCUGAUACAUGGCAAUCCUUCAACGGCUUCAACUAAACCCUGACAUUGGAUGAUGAGAUGCUGGCGAAUGACCGUUCAAGUCAACCAACGAAAAACAACGAAGAAGAGAAAAAUCAGCUGACCUAGUGCCCCGUGCUGUGAUUAAUUAUCUGCGAAGUACACAUCUAGGUGGAUAUAUCGCAUCAGUUGUUAUCCUUUGUACUCUUCAGUGAUGAAACGAUCGAACGCGAACGUGAAACCUCAAGAACCAUAGAACAACCAUUAAUAGUAUGUAGCUGAAGUAGGUACUUUUGACGAAGGGCAAAAAAAAGUGGCAUCUUGCAACCUGCCGAGCUGUGUACGUAGUUUCAGAGGAAUGCGGUAGUCGAACUGAUAGUUGUACGAGUAUAAUAAAACGAAGAAGUCCACACCGAACUACGAUGUCGAAUAAAUUUCAAAAAUGAGCCGCGCUUAUCUUUCAAUAAAUACGUAAUUUAGUGAUGUGCACCUCGAGACCGCGUCAAGAUACAGUUAUAUCCUACCUUUCAUCCAUUCCACUACACCAUGAUGAUGAACAUGUGAGGAGCGAAGCUAGUCCAGCUACGUAUAACAGAAAAAGCAUCGAUACUCUUCUUUUCUACUCGCUGCCUCCUACAGCUACUCGUACUUUGGUAGAGAGUAAAAAAAAACUACAUACGUAACAUAGAUGCUGUGCAGUGUUCAACGUCUCAAGGCUGUGAAAAAUGCUAAUCAGCUGGUCAUUGUUGACGUAAUCUGAUUUUCAUACCGGAUCGAAUCCCUUGUACACUCGAAUAGGCGAGAAAUCGUUGCACGAAUUGGAUUUGUUUUUUUGGCUGCUAAUUUCCACCGUCGCGUCGAUGUCGAUGUUAUUACGGGAAAAACACUUGGAAAACAUCUACUCAUGUUGUUGCUGCGAGAUGAAGAAUUAGCAUAUUUCUUUAUUAUCGCGAUACAAACGUAUCACUAGAUAGCGAGGAAAACUGCCUGCCUGUGUCCACAAUAUCACCACGUUUUUAGUUAAUGGUGCCUACGAAAUACGAAUACGCUUUCCACGGAUCCAACAACAGCGGAUAAUUGCGUCGUAUUAUUGAACGUAUAAAUAAUGUUGGACCAUAAAAACGCGUUCAUUUCAAGGUAUAUAAGUAUCUUGAGUGAAGAUUUCCAUUGACGAAUCAUCUAUAGCCUGAUAUAUUAUAAAUUCAUGUACGGAAUUAGUUCCGAAUAAUUAUUGCAACUGCAGAUACGGAAAAAGGAGAUGAAAAAAAUCAUGUGCAGAAUAAUUUCAACCAUUAGCACCGGAACAAAUAUCUCGAGACUGGCAGAAAAACCUUGGACAAAUAACCCGACGACGACGUGUAUUAAGAAAUAAGAAACUUUCCAAUGAAAGAAAAAAAGCUAUAAUGUCAGUCUGUCAGCAAGUUUUUCACCAUCAAUCUACAAUCCAUCGAUCACAAUAAUGAUUCGAUUGCUGAGUGAUAUGCAACUGCGUCUGCGCAAGCUUUUGAGGAAAAAAAUUGUAAUCAAAGUCAGACCAUCUAUAGAUGAACAGUUCGCGAUACCUAUUCAAAUCAGAUCGCCUUAUUUACAAAGUAGUUGUUGUUGAUCGAAUGGAGUGGAUUUUCUUUCGUUGGAUAUGAUUUAUUGUAGGAAACACGAGACUAAGUUCAAGGAGGAAAAUCCACCCCUCAGCGCCUCCAAUCUACGUAGCAUAAAUCGACUUGGCGUUGGAUUAUUGUGUGCCGAUUUGCGAUCAGAUGAAUGGAAUAGAGAUUGAUUAUAAAUGGUGGGAAAUCACAUUUCUCAAUUUUGAAGAAAUUUCGAGCUGAAUUUUAGAUUAUCGAGUUCAUUUUUCGAGUUGGAGUUCAGAAGAUAAUUUUGUUUCAAUAUUUUGAGUUGUUCUUAGUCUUAGUUUCCGGAUCGUGUACAUUAAUGUCGGGGUGGUAUUGGCCUUUCAAAUGGCCUAAGGCAGAAGAAAAGCCGAAGGAAGAUGAAAAAAAUCGUUGAUGAAUGAUUGAUUAUUUAUCUCAGGCUCUUCAUUUCUCAUCUUCAGCCCUCCAGGAAAUUGAUCUCUUGGACAAUAAUUAUUCCCUCCACCCUCCUCUCCCCUCCACCACCAAUAGUCCUAUAAAAACAAGACCACGGUGCGGUUUUCUUAAAACGAAGUGUGAAUCAGGGGUUCUCAAUUCUGCAAUACUUAUGAAAAAAUUAAUUAUUGAUAAUCUAAAACCAUAAGUAAUCAACUACUGCAAAUUUCUAUCUAACUUUAGAUUGUUUAUGCAGCGUUUUGAGUAAUUUUUACGCAAAUUUAUCAAUAUUCAUGAAGUUUUGAACAAUAUUUGUAAAUUUUUAAUAAUUUUGAGUCGACUUCGGUCCACUUUUACAGCACUUUCCGCAUAACUGAUGUCAGUUCAGCUGUUUUCAAAGCAUUUUACCCGAAUUUUCAAGCGUAUUUCAGGAGUAAUUUUUUGUAUAGGCAAUUUUUAGCAAUUUUGGCGCAAAUUUGACAAUUUUCGAGUCAUUUUAAAUAUCUUUAAUCAAUUUUUUUCUAAUUUCGAAGUAUUUUUAGAAGAUUUUCAUUAAUUUGAGCUCAAAAUUCAUUUUAUGUAAAGUGCUUCAAAACAGCUUCUCCCAAAUUCAGUUCAAUUUUUUUGUUCAAUCAAUUAAACGGUUCGAGUGGGAAGGAGGAGGAGAUGAAAAAUGUGUUUUUUCCUAUUUAUCAUCUUUCAUUUCUGUUUUUUUUUAUUAUUUUUUAGUAAUUUCCCUUCAUUUUGAUGGAUUUUUAAUUGAAUUUUGAAUUGGGAACCUUUCAUUUUGAGGAAUUUCCCUUUGGGAAAUUCUUAAUCAGAUUCAAUAAAUAAUAUUUCUUCUUAUUACGGUUAUUAUUGUUCAAUUUUAGCACCUAUCUAAUGAAAUGUACAUUUUUUUUUCGAUUGCAGAAACAGAAAAUGGAAUUGUAUUUAUACCGAAGGCCAACUGUAUCUCGCAGAAAUUCACUCAAAACAAUGGUAUACUACACAUAAUGGUGCUUUCGAAGAAGAAGACCGAGUGAGAGAGAGAGAGAGAGAAAACAUAUGUGCGAACACAAAAGACACGUUUAUAUACAAGAUUUUCUGCAGGUUGCCACACACAAUGCUCAUUCUUCUAAAUUGAUCUGUCCAACGACCAAAUAACGAGCUACCAGGCAUAAAUGUCCCUAAACAGAACUGAGAUGUGUUGGUUGUUUGAUUGAUUUUGCGAAAAAAUUUUCUAAUCAUAAAGCACGAUUAACAAGUACUACCUACGCUAAUAAAGAGACUUCUGCUGACUGCAGAGUCUGGAUAAUCACUAAUCACCAGUGAUACAUUUUCGUUGAUGAAAGAAUCGACUAUCGAGCGAGAUGUACCUAGCUACCUACGUUUAUCGGAAAAUUACUUCGAGGAAUAGGUGCGAUAAAGAGCUUAAUGCGUAAAGAGGUCAUUUUCACGCUCGAAAACCAAAAAGAAUUCACUCGCAGCGUUUAACUGUCGCAUGACGAGAUCAUACCGAUUGACCAGAUUCGCCGAUAUGCCGAAGCCGAUGCAUCGGUACCAAGACCUACCUAUCUGCAGACUGAAUACAGAUACAUGUACGAUGGAAUUUUUAAUGUCGUCUCGAUUGCUUCUAUACGUAGUAUAAGCUACACAGCCGAGUAUUCGCGUAUGUGUAUCAGGAAAUGUAGGCGUGCAUGAAGAAACCGUCUUGUUUGAUGGAUUUGCAAGUAGACAUGAGAAGAGGAAAGCGUUGCAUGUUGCCUGAGGUCAGUUCAGAAAGAACAGUGAACUUUGUUGGCAUUUUGGAGUCUUGUCGGAAUCGUCCUACGUUACGAGUAUGGUCCCAUGGGUGCGAUGUUGCGUCGUGGUUUAAGCAAAACUUCUCCUUUGAAAUGAUGGUAUAGUUGCGAAGCAUCGAAGACACAACGAUUUAUCCAUCAACGUAACACGUUAUUAACCCCUUCGAAAACACAAUCCGCAACUUAUCCUACAUUACUCGCAGCUUCCACUACAUACAUCCUGGCUAUGGCAAGACGGGCGUUCAAGGGGCAACGACAACAUCAACUCUGGCCAUGCCAUAUCGAAGGUGAAUUGAACAUCUUAUUCUCAACGUGUAAUAGUUUUGCGUAACUUUUACUCAUUUACAACUUGUUUACCAUUUAAAUAAACACCGUUUAAAUUAUUACUCGAUAGACGUUUUGAAGAAUUUACUUAACGUACAAGUACAAAGAUAGGUGCACAUAUAACAGUAUAAGAAUGUUUUUUACCUCAUUU